RNAcentral lists this ribosomal RNA (492 nucleotides) under uncultured bacterium. RNAcentral describes it as "partial 16S ribosomal RNA". It matches the Rfam family "Bacterial small subunit ribosomal RNA", at positions 29 to 507 of the family's 1533-position model. The record is from RNAcentral.
AGUGAACGCUGGCGGUAGGCCUAACACAUGCGAGUCGAACGGCAGCACAGUAAGAGCUUGCUCUUACGGGUGGCGAGUGGCGGACGGGUGAGGAAUAGAUCGGAAUCUACUUUUUCGUGGGGGAUAACGUAGGGAAACUUACGCUAAUACCGCAUACGACCUACGGGUGAAAGCAGGGGAUCUUCGGACCUUGCGCGAUUGAAUGAGCCGAUGUCGGAUUAGCUAGUUGGCGGGGUAAAGGCCCACCAAGGCGACGAUCCGUAGCUGGUCUGAGAGGAUGAUCAGCCACACUGGAACUGAGACACGGUCCAGACUCCUACGGGAGGCAGCAGUGGGGAAUAUUGGACAAUGGGCGCAAGCCUGAUCCAGCCAUACCGCGUGAGUGAUGAAGGCCUUCGGGUUGUAAAGCCCUUUUGUUGGGAAAGAACAGCAGCAGGUUAAUACCCCGCUGUUCUGACGGUACCCAAAGAAUAAGCACCGGCUAACUUCGUG